AAUUUGCACAUAUCAGAAAUUAAAUCCUAUAGGUGUGAUUUCUACCCUUUUGUGCACGAAAAGUAACCUCCUCCCUUGUUUCACUAAAUCCCCAUGAGUUUAUACAAAUUAUUACAGACCACUAAAAAUAAGACAGAAAUGAAAAUACAUCAGAAAUUAUCUGCUACAUACGAGAGCCUAAUUCAGACUUAUUGUCUAACAAUAUGAGAUUGAAUCAGUUCCUAUAUCAAGAUUUCCAAAACCUUCUCUUAUCUAGGGUGUUUUAGAGAUCCAUGGAGUUUCAGGAACUCCAGGUAGUGCUUACACCCAAGAUGUUAAUUAGAAAGAGUUAUAGUGCAGUGUGGAAGGGCUAACCCUCAGGUGUCCAUGUUUAGAGGGCGCUCAUGCAUCCAAAGGCAAGGCUCACAAGAGAGGGGCAGGACUUAAGUUCUAAGAGUUUGUGCCAGUGCAAUAGAGAGGGUUUAGGCAGUUCCAAGGCAGGUUGGUGGUCAUACCUAGUCACAAAGUAAACUGGCACACCCCUGACCAAGACUAUGGUCUAGACAAUGAUCAUGACAUUGUUAGACCAACGUUCCAUACUCAGCAUACAUGACAGGGGAAAGGGGAUGGUAAUUUAAUAAAGUUUGGGACUCAGGAGUCCAGUCCAUAUACAUGAGUAACAAUGUCAAGUGUUGUCAUGUUUUCUGAACCUUAACCCAACAUACAAAGGGACUAGGGAUAGAGAUUCAUGUAAGAAUAGAGGUAAGGCGAUAAGUAAACUUGCAGAAAAUUAAAACAUAGAAGCAGUAAGACAAAUGAAGGAAAGGCUGAAGAAUAAACAUGUGGUGAAGAGGCAAAAUUUAAAACAAGAGAGACAUACCAGUUGCAAAAAAAGUAAGCAAAGAAACAACAGUAUUCUUUCAGCCAAACCACAAUCAGAGAAGAAAGCUUUAAGCUUGUGAGUUCGGAGAACUCGAACGCUUAUGAAAUUCUAAGUGUAUUUGAGGGAAGUAGCGACUUGUUCUGUUAGAACUUGUUUAUGAAAGGGAAGGGGUACAGGUAUUUAUAAUUUUGAAAAUAGUAGAAAAUAAGGCAACAAUAAGGUUUCACUGCAAACAGCAAAUAAUCGGAGUCAAAAUCAAUUAACAUGGGUAUUUUCCCUUUAAUCAAAGGAUUACUGCUCAAAUGGACACUAACAGCAUUAAUACAAGGACAGAAGAUCGAUUUGAAAACAGAAUGAUUGUUACCAUAAAAGUAGCGGUAAAACCAUAUACUAAGGGAUUAAGUCUAAAUACAGGAAUGUACUUAUUUUUGGAAAGGAUCUUGUCAGGCCAAACAAAGAGAGAGAAUCAAUUAACCCUUAACGGCCGAGUAAGAAUCAGAAUUUCACAAGGAUAUGUUUUUAAAAUCAAUUACGAGUUUGAAAAUCAAUCACAGAAGGGACUCAGUAUAUAAAUGAAGUACACCAGUAAUAGACAUGUGAGGCCAAGCUAUGGCAAGAUGAAACAACAUAUAGUUAUAGCAUAGAAUUAGUAAAAGGUAAGCAUUCAUAGCAUGAUAGUCACAUAGGUCAAGUUUCAUUGGCUUAGUAAUAGAGAAAGGGAUCAAAAGUAUGCAAAACUUAAGUGAAAAGUUUCUAAUAACAUAGUCUAGUUUAACAGAUAUCAACAACUCAGAACAAAAGGAAUCACAUAAAGAAGAUGAGAUGGUGAAGUAAAAGAAUCAGGCAGAGCAAUUUCAAAUAAGCGAGUUGCACAAACAAACUCAAGAACUCAAAUAGACCCCAAAAGAACUAGGGUUUUCAAAAUCAGUAGAGUUUAGAGGAGAUAAACAAUUGAAACAAAUAAAGAGUCUCAGUAUCUCAAAUAAACCCCAAAAAUUAGGGUUUUCAACAUUAAUCUGGUGUAAACAAAGUAAAUCAAACAGAUAGACUCAGAAACUCAAAAAAAUUUAAAAAAAUUAGGUUUUCAACAACAAUCAAACCUAGAGAUGAUAAGAAAAUGAAUUGAACAAAAUAUUACCAAACAGACUCAGAAACCCUAGUCUAAAAUCAAAAGAUUUUUUAAAAGUAAAUUUGGGGAAAACGCUUAAAACAUCACGUAUAGCACAGAUCAAGCAGUAAUCCAAACAAAUAAACAAAAAAGAACCUCGAAUAGGCUAGGGUUCCUGAGAACCCUAGAAAUGAGAAAGGCUUGGAAGAAACAACACCAGAUCUGUAGUUGAUAAGGUCGAAAUCAGGCUCAGGAGGCUAAGAUACGCCGGAGCAAGGCCGGAGAUGGCUGAAAACCUCGAAUCGACGAAGUUCUGAGUGAAGAUUCUUGAAGUCUGGCGUCGAAACUUCAGGUAUUAAGCACGUGAGAGUAGUAGGGGUGAGUAUAGGUCGUCCAUAGCUUGAACGCCCAUGGAUUCCAGCAGGUUUGGGGUUGAAAGCGACAAAAAACGAUUAGGGUUUCGAGAGAGUUUGAGAGCAUUGUAGAGAAGAGAGGAGUUAGAGGCGGC
This 2478-nucleotide long non-coding RNA is filed under the name Nicotiana benthamiana. Its description in RNAcentral is "long non-coding RNA (NBEN_LNC015561)". The record is from RNAcentral. Lineage: Eukaryota; Viridiplantae; Streptophyta; Magnoliopsida; Solanales; Solanaceae.